AUUUUGUAAUUAUUGGGCCAAAAGCCCAUUUAUCUCGAUCACUAUUGUGUUAGUCUAGGACAGGUACCAAGUGUUGGGCCAAAGGUCUCAAAAAGCAUAAAUUAGGCCCAAGUGUUGGUCCGGGCGAACAGAAAACCAAACCUGGGCCUGAACCUUCUCUCCCUCUUUAUUUUAUUUGUUUUCAUAUUUGUCUAAUUGUUUAUUUGCUAGUUAAUUCUAA
This 220-nucleotide long non-coding RNA is filed under the name Solanum tuberosum (potato). Its description in RNAcentral is "long non-coding RNA (STUB_LNC001135)". The record is from RNAcentral. Lineage: Eukaryota; Viridiplantae; Streptophyta; Magnoliopsida; Solanales; Solanaceae.